This 497-nucleotide ribosomal RNA is filed under the name uncultured bacterium. RNAcentral describes it as "partial 16S ribosomal RNA". It matches the Rfam family "Bacterial small subunit ribosomal RNA", at positions 28 to 507 of the family's 1533-position model. The record is from RNAcentral.
GAUGAACGCUGGCGGCGUGCCUAAUACAUGCAAGUCGAGCGAACAGAUGAGGAGCUUGCUCCUCUGACGUUAGCGGCGGACGGGUGAGUAACACGUGGAUAACCUACCUAUAAGACUGGGAUAACUUCGGGAAACCGGAGCUAAUACCGGAUAAUAUAUUGAACCGCAUGGUUCAAUAGUGAAAGACGGUUUUGCUGUCACUUAUAGAUGGAUCCGCGCCGCAUUAGCUAGUUGGUAAGGUAACGGCUUACCAAGGCAACGAUGCGUAGCCGACCUGAGAGGGUGAUCGGUCACACUGGAACUGAGACACGGUCCAGACUCCUAAGGGAGGCAGCAGUAGGGAAACUUCCGCAAUGGGGCAAAGCCUGAAGGAGCAAAGGCGCGUGAGUGAUGAAAGUUUUCGGAUCGUAAAACUCUGUUAUUAGGGAAGAACAAAAGUGUAAGUAACUAUGCACGUCUUGACGGUAACUAAUCAGAAAGCCACGGCUAAAUAAGUG